UGUGUGUGUGUGUGUGUGUGUGUGUGUGUGUGCGCGUGUGUGUGUAACCAACUACUUGUGUACUUCCUGUUAGACUUGCAGCACCAACAUUUCCUUAUUCUUUAUUGCAUAACAUCAGCGUUAAGCAACUUCCCAAAUGUGCUUCUCACAAUAAGAGUCCAACAAAAACACCAUUCAGCUUACUGAUUUUCAUCAAGAAUUCCAAUGAUAAAUUUGCAAGCUGUUUUUCACAGAUACAUCAAAUGGCUGCAUGCAAAUUGUGCAACCCCGAGUUUCGCUCAUCACUGAAGCGUUUCAAGCCUACGCUUUCCCUUCAGCAUGUUGGAGCAAGCGCGGACACCAGAGCUAUCGUAAAACAUUCUGGUACCGGCAAGCUUAGAUUGUCUCUGUAACUGGCUGAAAGACGAGAAGAAAUUCAGUCAGUUGUGACGGUGAUACUUGAUAUUUUGAGAUACAGCAUGUGCCUUUGUCUCUGCGUGUUUAAUACAGAUGAAUGCAUUCAUACAGUAAAGCCCUCUGUGUAAACGUGAGUAAUUGACGUCCCCUUAUUUAAAAAAAAAAAUUGCCUAUAUCAAUAGUUUACAAAGAAAAUAUUCUACAAACUAAGACACCAAAGCAGUUUAAUAUCAUGCCAAUUUCAUUUGACAACAUAACCCUAAAAAAAAAUCAAUGGCUUACAGAUGUUUUGAUUAAUCACCUCAACAUACUGUACUUUCUUGGCAGCGAUUUUGUUAGCUAGUGCUUUGUCGCCAUCAUGUGACAUCUUAGUUGCCUGUUACAGAACUAGCACAAAAUGUCGGAAUAGGUGCAAGUUGACUGUACUCUGUUGCUUGUAUUGGUUUUAGCGUUAGCAUUCGUACUCCACAGGGAAGCGGAAAUGAUUUGUUUUGACAACAGGCAACAAUUUGAAAGUGUGACUUACAGUAUGUGAAACAACUGUCAUUGAUGUUCAUGUUCAGCAAGUCCUCUCUCUAUAUGGCAUUUUCGAGGUUACAAACGUCACAAAAUGAGCUAGUUUGCGCAGCGGCCUAAUGAUAUGUGGCACAAAGGGGUAUGCUAAGUCACCACUGUACUGAAUGUUUUUCCUUUUUUAUCAUGGCCUUGAAGUGUUUGUCCAUGCAAAUAUUUAGAGUAAUUAUGGUUUUAGCACUAUGCUAGCAUAUGUAAGCGACACUACUGUGCGUUCCAACAAAUUUGGUUUGCACCACCGCCAUAGAAACCGAAUGAAGUAAUACAGUAUGCCAAGGACUCCUGUAUAUUUCUAUUUGGCCACCAAAAUGUAUUUGAAUGGAAAAACAAAGUUUUUUCAAUCAAAUACAUGCCACAACACGAAGUACGCCAACAUCUUCCGAAUCACAGCCAUCGCUCUCUAUCAAAGAUGUGUGUGUCAUCCACGUGUGCCUUUCACGACUCAUUCCACCUCCACAUGCGUAUUCAACUUCAUCUUUUCUGACACAUCAUGUCAACCUGUUGCGAAUGGCUGUCUUUGAAUCCUUUUUUUUCAUUCCCUCACUCACCGUUCCACCCUCCACCCCGUUCCACCCCGACAUCCUUCCUCGCCGUCAUUGUGUUGCUGUGGCGGCACAACAUCCUGCCAUCAUCUUGGCAUGGCAACCAAAAUCACUUUUUUUUUCUCCCAACAAGCUAAAUUAUGCAGAUUUGAUAUUGAGUCAGACGGCGCAUGCGUGCUUUUUAGAUGAUGUGUGUGACUCAGCAUGAAAAUGAUUCCCAUCGCUGUUGCCAUGGUGACUGUGUCUCAGCGGGAGACAUGUCGCCACAAUUACGUUUUUUUUUUUGGUUUUUUGUUUUUUUAAUGUGUGAUAAUUACACUGCGAGAGGGAACUGGCAUACAACACUGUGAUAAGUACAGGACAUGCAUUGUUCUCAUUCAUACUCUGACAAACAACACGGCAGACAUUUUCAUUGAGAUUUUACUCGCGGUGAUUCAUAGAAUUACACCGCUUUAACUUAACCUGUGGUGAAAGUGUUGUAAUCUGUGCGGAAUGCGCGCAUGC
This is a long non-coding RNA of Hippocampus comes (tiger tail seahorse), 2015 nucleotides long. RefSeq lists it as uncharacterized. NCBI's taxonomy places the organism in Eukaryota, Metazoa, Chordata, Actinopteri, Syngnathiformes, Syngnathidae. The record is from RefSeq and is a predicted model, not a curated record. The transcript is spliced from 2 exons.